RNAcentral lists this ribosomal RNA (1258 nucleotides) under metagenome. RNAcentral describes it as "bacterial SSU rRNA". It matches the Rfam family "Bacterial small subunit ribosomal RNA", at positions 248 to 1498 of the family's 1533-position model. The record is from RNAcentral.
GUAGGUGGGGUAAAGGCUCACCUAGGCGACGAUCCGUAGCUGGUCUGAGAGGAUGAUCAGCCACACUGGAACUGAGACACGGUCCAGACUCCUACGGGAGGCAGCAGUGGGGAAUAUUGGACAAUGGGGGAAACCCUGAUCCAGCCAUGCCGCGUGUGUGAAGAAGGCCUUCGGGUUGUAAAGCACUUUAAGCGGGGAGGAAGGCCUUGGGAUUAAUACUCCUGAGGAUUGACGUUACCCGCAGAAUAAGCACCGGCUAACUCUGUGCCAGCAGCCGCGGUAAUACAGAGGGUGCAAGCGUUAAUCGGAAUUACUGGGCGUAAAGCGCGCGUAGGCGGUUUGUUAAGUCGGAUGUGAAAUCCCCGGGCUCAACCUGGGCACGGCAUCCGAUACUGGCUGACUAGAGUGUGGGAGAGGAAGGUAGAAUUCCAGGUGUAGCGGUGAAAUGCGUAGAGAUCUGGAGGAAUACCGAUGGCGAAGGCAGCCUUCUGGCCUAACACUGACGCUGAGGUGCGAAAGCAUGGGGAGCAAACAGGAUUAGAUACCCUGGUAGUCCAUGCCGUAAACGAUGCCAACUAGCCGUUGGGGACCUUGAGUCUUUAGUGGCGCAGCUAACGCGAUAAGUUGACCGCCUGGGGAGUACGGCCGCAAGGUUAAAACUCAAAUGAAUUGACGGGGGCCCGCACAAGCGGUGGAGUAUGUGGUUUAAUUCGAUGCAACGCGAAGAACCUUACCUGGCCUUGACAUAUCCGGAAUCCUGCAGAGAUGCGGGAGUGCCUUCGGGAAUCGGAAUACAGGUGCUGCAUGGCUGUCGUCAGCUCGCGUCGUGAGAUGUUGGGUUAAGUCCCGCAACGAGCGCAACCCUUGUCCUUAGUUGCCAGCACGUAAUGGUGGGAACUCUAAGGAGACUGCCGGUGACAAACCGGAGGAAGGCGGGGACGACGUCAAGUCAUCAUGGCCCUUACGGCCAGGGCUACACACGUACUACAAUGGUCGGUACAAAGGGUUGCUAGCCUGCGAAGGUACGCUAAUCUCAAAAAGCCGAUCGUAGUCCAGAUUGGAGUCUGCAACUCGACUCCAUGAAGUCGGAAUCGCUAGUAAUCGCGGAUCAGAAUGCCGCGGUGAAUACGUUCCCGGGCCUUGUACACACCGCCCGUCACACCAUGGGAGUCUAUUGCACCAGAAGUAGCUAGCUUAACCUUCGGGAGGGCGGUUACCACGGUGUGGUCGAUGACUGGGGUGAAGUCGUAACAAGGUA